Molecule: long non-coding RNA, 827 nt
Filed under: Cucumis sativus (cucumber)
Lineage: Eukaryota; Viridiplantae; Streptophyta; Magnoliopsida; Cucurbitales; Cucurbitaceae
Description: long non-coding RNA (CSAT_LNC000085)
Source: RNAcentral
UCAACCUCUACAAAUAACUAAAAUUGGGAAUUCAAUGUUUAAAACAAAUCAUGUAUUAGUCUAAUCAUAGUCUUAACUUGUUAAGAUAUACGUCUUUCACUAACGGAUCAUAAGUGGUAAUAAUUUUUAAAAUGUUGUUUAAAUUGUAAAUUUAAUAUUCAUGAUUUGAAGAAGAUAUAAUUUAUUUUCCAUGAUAGUGACUAUUUACAUUUACCAAACUUUUGUUCAACCAUAUAGAAACUAUUGAUGGGACUUUAUUAAACCAGAGUUUGAGUUCUUCUUUUGAAACUAUAGGACAAAAUUUUAAUCUUGUUUACAUUAUAGUUAUCAAAUUUGUAAUUUAACGAGAAAAAACGAUUUAACUAAAAUUUAGGUUAAUAUGAAAUUGUGAAGUUUAAUUAUGCUUUUAUUUUCUGCAUCCUCUGUGACUGAGAAUCAUCCUCCUCGUUUGUUUUAAAGACUUAUUAGUGUGAAAUUUGUCCCCACAAAAAAGCCCGAGUACUCACAACAAAUUACAAAUUAAUUGUUUUUAAAGUGAGUUUAUUAAUAUUUAGUGAUUUACGUAAUUGGUCACAGGUGUAGAGCAGCAUGGGCCGAAACAAAUCACAGCCGAUAACAUUGGGCCCAUUAAGUAUUUGAUUCCAGAGCAGCAGCUUCUUUCUUAAACAUAUUUUUUUUCUUUUUAUUUCAUUUAUAUUUUGAUAAGAUUGAUCACAGAUCUUUUAUUUUGUUUCCUAUAGUUUUUUAAAUAAUGUUGAUCAAAGAUCUUGUUGCUAAAGUUUUAUUUCUGGAAAUGGAAAAAUGAUGAAAUACAUUACAGAAACCAA